UACAGUAUCUUCUGAGUAAAUGAUUAAAUAAAUCAAAACUUUCAACAACGGAUCUCUUGGUUCUGGCAUCGAUGAAGAACGCAGCGAAAUGCGAUAAGUAAUGUGAAUUGCAGAAUUCAGUGAAUCAUCGAAUCUUUGAACGCACAUUGCGCCCGCCAGUAUUCUGGCGGGCAUGCCUGUUCGAGCGUCAUUUCAACCCUCAAGCCCCCGGGCUUGGUGUUGGAGAUCGGCGUGCCCCCCCGGGGCGCGCCGGCUCCCAAAUAUAGUGGCGGUCUCGCUGUAGCUUCCUCUGCGUAGUAGCACACCUCGCACUGGAAAACAGCGUGGCCACGCCGUUAAACCCCCCACUUCUGAAAGGUUGACCUCGGAUCAGGUAGGAAUACCCGCUGAACUUAAGCAUAUCAAUAAGCGGAG
Molecule: ribosomal RNA, 414 nt
Filed under: Ilyonectria sp. nwa_sqmc_254e1
Lineage: Eukaryota; Fungi; Ascomycota; Sordariomycetes; Hypocreales; Nectriaceae
Description: eukaryotic LSU rRNA
Rfam family: 5.8S ribosomal RNA (bases 37-190)
Source: RNAcentral